This 2152-nucleotide long non-coding RNA is filed under the name Carassius auratus (goldfish). RNAcentral describes it as "lncRNA (ENSCARG00000040471.1)". Lineage: Eukaryota; Metazoa; Chordata; Actinopteri; Cypriniformes; Cyprinidae. The record is from RNAcentral.
CAAGGGUCCUGCACAAACGGCCCGUUUAUGACAGCUCACGCAGCCGCCGCCUUUUCACUAGGUGCAGAGCCCGAUGCUCAAUCUGUUGGCCUAAUUCCUGCCGUGGACACGUUUCAGGAUUAUGCACAACAAGAUGCAACGACUGUUACGCACACACUUCCUUUGUGCACGGACGCCACAAGCUUUUCGUGCCCGGAUGUUUUAACGCGUGUGACAGUGUUGCAGGAAACUGACAUUUUGAGACCGCUAUUAUUGUUUCGGGCAGCGUGGGAACGCUUGCCCGGCAUUUCUCGAUGGGUGUUACGCACAAUUUGUCACGGAUACACCAUUCAGUUUCGAAAGGGACCGCCCCCUUUCCGCGGAAUUCUUUCCACGGUGGUGAAACCGAUGGAUAUAGCGGUGCUGCGACAGGAGAUGUUGGCUCUGCUGAACAAAGGGGCUAUAGAAGAAGUACACCCCUCUCAGAUGGAGUCAGGGUUUUACAGCCGAUAUUUUUUGGUACCAAAAAAAGAUGGCGGAUUACGACCCAUUCUGGAUUUACGCUGUCUGAAUCUUGCACUCAGGCCGAGCAAAUUCAAGAUGUUGACGGUAAAAUCUAUUUUGUCCCAGGUUCAACCAAACGACUGGUUUGUCACGAUCGAUCUGAAGGAUGCGUACUUUCAUAUUCAGAUCAUAAAGAGACACAGGAAGUUCCUCAGAUUCGCUUUAGAGGGCAAAGCGUAUCAGUACCGCGUUCUUCCCUUUGGCUUAACUCUAGCUCCCCGUACGUUCUCAAAAUGCAUGGAUGCAGCCCUGGCCCCGCUGCGGCUCCAGGGUGUCCGGGUUUUGAACUAUUUGGACGAUUGGCUGGUGUUAGUCACAAUAACAGACUCAAGCACACUCUCAUCAGGAUCUUGUGCUGAGUCAUUUAAACAACCUGGGUUUACGCACGAAUUUCCAGAAAAGCGUUUUAAUCCCUUCUCAGCCGAUAACCUUUCUGGGAAUAAACUUGGACUCUCGCGCGAUGACAGGGAAGCUUUCUCUACCGCGCGCUCAGUCGAUUGCGUCAUUCGUGCGGGGCUUCAAAGCGGGUCAAACAGUGACAGUGAGACUGUGCCUCAGACUUUUGGGUCUAAUGGCAGCAGCUAUUCCCGUAAUUCACUUGGGAUUACUUCACAUGUGCCCUUUUCAGUGGUGGACGAAAAGACGAAACAUUUCACCCCGUUGUCAUCCACAUCGAACGAUCUCGGUGACACGGCGAUGUGUGAUGUCGUUAAAACUAUGGAUGUCAAGCGAGUUUCUCCUAACCGGAGUUUGGCUGGGGAUUUGUGCUUCCCGAGAGACUGUCACGACGGAUGCGUCUAUGACCGGGUGGGGAGCUGUUUGUCGAGGACGCCCAGCUCAAGGAGUGUGGACAGCGGCACAACGCAGCUGGCACAUAAACAGAUUGGAAUUACUGGCGGUUUUUCUAGCUCUCCAGUAUUUCGCGAGUCUGCUGAUCGGCCGUCAUGUACUGAUCAGAUCGGACAACAUAGCGGUUGUGUCUUAUCUGAAUCAUCAGGGAGGAUUACGCUCUCGCCCCCUGUGCAGGCUGGCGAGGCUUCUUCUUCUUUGGUCUCACAACAAAUUUCUGUCGGACCGGGCCGUUCAUGUCCCCGGACGAUUGAACUUCGGAGCAGAUUUACUAUCCAGACAGACUCUGGAGCAAGGGGAAUGGAGAUUUCACCCACAAACGGUGAGUCUCCUAUGGCAGAUUUUCGGAGAAGCAAAAGUGGAUUUAUUCGCGUUGAACACGACUACGCAUUGCCCGCUAUGGUUCUCCCUAUGCCCUCCAUCACCCCUGGGCUUGGAUGCGUUAGCACACAACUGGCCCAGGACCAGUUUGUAUGCGUUUCCCCCAAUUCGUCUGAUCCCAGCAGUAUUAUGCAGAAUACGGCAGGACAGAGUGGAACGGCUGCUGCUAGUGGCUCCGCGGUGGCACACACAGCCGUGGUCUCUCCAUGGGAGAUUUCCCUCAGACACGAUUUGUUAUCACAAGCGCUGGGGCUGAUUUGGCAUCCCAGGCCGGAUUUAUGGAAUCUGUGGGCAUGGCCCUUGAGCGGAGUGAAUUAAUAGGUCCAGGUCUUUCUGCUGAAACUACCGAGACUAUACUGAAUUCUAGAGCAACUUCUAC